This 440-nucleotide ribosomal RNA is filed under the name uncultured bacterium. Its description in RNAcentral is "partial 16S ribosomal RNA". It matches the Rfam family "Bacterial small subunit ribosomal RNA", at positions 338 to 795 of the family's 1533-position model. The record is from RNAcentral.
CCUACGGGAGGCAGCAGUAGGGAAUAUUGCUCAAUGGGGGAAACCCUGAAGCAGCAACGCCGCGUGGAGGAUGAAGGUUUUCGGAUUGUAAACCCCUUUUGUUAGAGAAGAUAAUGACGGUAUCUAACGAAUAAGCACCGGCCAACUUCGUGCCAGCAGCCGUGGUAAUACGGAGGGUGCCAGCGUUACUCGGAAUCACUGGGCGUAAAGAGCGCGUAGGCGGGAUAGCAAGUCAGAUGUGAAAUCCUGUGGCUUAACCAUAGAACUGCAGUUGAAACUGUUAUUCUAGAGUUUGGGAGAGGUAGGUGGAAUGCUUGGUGUAGCGGUGAAAUCCGUAGAGAUCAAGAGGAAUACUCAUUGCGAAGGCGGCCUGCUAGAACAUAACUGACGCUGAUGCACGAAAGCGUGGGGAGCAAACAGGAUUAGAUACCCCAGUAGUC